CCUACGGGAGGCUGCAGUGGGGAAUAUUGGGCAAUGGGCGCAAGCCUGACCCAGCAACGCCGCGUGAAGGAAGAAGGCUUUCGGGUUGUAAACUUCUUUUAAGAGGGAAGAGCAGAAGACGGUACCUCUUGAAUAAGCCACGGCUAACUACGUGCCAGCAGCCGCGGUAAUACGUAGGUGGCAAGCGUUGUCCGGAUUUACUGGGGGUAAAGGGCGUGCAGCCGGGAAGACAAGUCAGAUGUGAAAUCCCGCGGCUCAACCGCGGAACUGCAUUUGAAACUGUUUUUCUUGAGUACCGGAGAGGUCAUCGGAAUUCCUUGUGUAGCGGUGAAAUGCGUAGAGAUAAGGAAGAACACCAGUGGCGAAGGCGGAUGACUGGACGGCAACUGACGGUGGGGCGCGAAAGCGUGGGGAGCAAACAGGAUUAGAUACCCGUGUAGUC
RNAcentral lists this ribosomal RNA (442 nucleotides) under uncultured bacterium. Its description in RNAcentral is "partial 16S ribosomal RNA". It matches the Rfam family "Bacterial small subunit ribosomal RNA", at positions 338 to 795 of the family's 1533-position model. The record is from RNAcentral.